Molecule: ribosomal RNA, 525 nt
Filed under: Priestia megaterium
Lineage: Bacteria; Bacillati; Bacillota; Bacilli; Caryophanales; Bacillaceae
Description: bacterial SSU rRNA
Rfam family: Bacterial small subunit ribosomal RNA
Source: RNAcentral
UCUGACGGAGCAACGCCGCGUGAGUGAUGAAGGCUCUCGGCGUCGUAAAACUCUGUUGAUAGGGAAGAACAAGUACGAGAGUAAUUGCUCGUACCUUGACGGUACCUAACCAGAAAGCCACGGCUAAAUACGUGCCAGCAGCCGCGGUAAUAAGUAGGUGGCAAGCGUUAUCUGUAAUUAUCGGGCGUAAAGCGCGCGCAGGCGGUUUCUUAAGUAUGAUGUGAAAACCCCCGGCUCAACCGUGGAAGGUCAUUGGAAAAUGGGGAACUUGAGUGCAGAAGAGAAAAGCGGAAUUCCACGUGUAGCGGUGAAAUGCGUAGAGAUUUGGAGGAACACCAGUGGCGAAGGCGGCUUUCUGGUCUGUAACUGACGAUGAGGCGGGAAAGCGGGGGGGGCAAACAAGAUUAGAUACCCUGGUAGUCCCCCCCGUAAACGAUGAGUAAUAAGUGUUAGAGGGUUUCCGCCCUUUAGUGGGGCAGCUAACGCAUUAAGCCCUCCGCCUGGGGAGUACGGUCGCAAGGCUGA